UUUUGAUUAGUGGCGCACGGGUGAGUAAUAUAUAGGUAACGUGCCUCUUAGUCUGGGAUAGCCACUGGAAACGGUGAUUAAUACCGGAUACUCCUUCUGAUUCUAAUGUCAGUCGGGAAAGUUUUUCGCUAAGAGAUCGGCCUAUAUCCUAUCAGUUAGUUGGUGAGGUAAUGGCUCACCAAGGCAAUGACAGGUAGCGGGUUUGAGAGGAUGAUCCGCCACACUGGUACUGAGACACGGACCAGACUCC
This 250-nucleotide ribosomal RNA is filed under the name uncultured bacterium. RNAcentral's name for it is "partial 16S ribosomal RNA". It matches the Rfam family "Bacterial small subunit ribosomal RNA", at positions 86 to 339 of the family's 1533-position model. The record is from RNAcentral.